Molecule: ribosomal RNA, 447 nt
Filed under: uncultured bacterium
Lineage: Bacteria
Description: partial 16S ribosomal RNA
Rfam family: Bacterial small subunit ribosomal RNA
Source: RNAcentral
UCCAGACUCCUACGGGAGGCAGCAGUGGGGGAUAUUGCACAAUGGGGGGAACCCUGAUGCAGCGACGCCGCGUGGGUGAAGGAGCGUUUCGGCGCGUAAAGCCCUAUCGGCAGGGAAGAAGGAGGACGGUACCUGACUAAGAAGCCCCGGCUAACUACGUGCCAGCAGCCGCGGUAAUACGUAGGUGGCAAGCGUUGUCCGGAAUUACUGGGUGUAAAGGGAGCGCAGGCGGGAAGCCAAGUCAGCUGUGAAAACUACGGGCUUAACUUGUAGACUGCAGUUGAAACUGGUUUUCUUGAGUGAAGUAGAGGUUGGCGGAAUUCCGAGUGUAGCGGUGAAAUGCGUAGAUAUUCGGAGGAACACCGGCGGCGAAGGCGGCCAACUGGGCUUUAACUGACGCUGAGGCUCGAAAGUGUGGGGAGCAAACAGGAUUAGAUACCCCUGUAA